RNAcentral lists this long non-coding RNA (298 nucleotides) under Phoenix dactylifera (date palm). RNAcentral describes it as "long non-coding RNA (PDAC_LNC000194)". Lineage: Eukaryota; Viridiplantae; Streptophyta; Magnoliopsida; Arecales; Arecaceae. The record is from RNAcentral.
GUUUGAUAAUAUGGCAUAGAUAACAAAACUUUGGCAAAAAUUAUGAACAGGGUUUUUCUUAAUGGUCAUACUUCUAUUCUUAGGAACUACAUAUUUUGGGCUUUAGACCUGGACAAUGAAUCCUCAAGUAUUGGGACCUAGGUAACUAUAGUGUAUGUGAGAUAUAAGGUGUGGGUGGGUGGUCUCCCUUCCUCUCUCUCUACUUAAAAAAAAAACAAAACAAAAAAAAAACAAAAGUUCAAACAAAGACACUGUACCUAGCAGGACAAAUCGGUACGAGCUGCAUCGGGCCGUGCCG